This 403-nucleotide ribosomal RNA is filed under the name uncultured bacterium. RNAcentral's name for it is "bacterial SSU rRNA". It matches the Rfam family "Bacterial small subunit ribosomal RNA", at positions 29 to 429 of the family's 1533-position model. The record is from RNAcentral.
AUUGAACGCUGGCGGCAUGCCUAACACAUGCAAGUCGAACGGCAGCACGGCAGUAGCAAUACUGUGGGUGGCGAGUGGCGGACGGGUGAGGAAUACGUCGGAAUCUGCCCAGUCGUGGGGGAUAACUAGCCGAAAGGUUAGCUAAUACCGCAUACGACCGAGAGGUGAAAGCGGGGGACCGCAAGGCCUCGCGCGAUUGGAUGAGCCGACGUCGGAUUAGCUAGUUGGUGGGGUAAAGGCCCACCAAGGCGACGAUCCGUAGCUGGUCUGAGAGGAUGAUCAGCCACACUGGAACUGAGACACGGUCCAGACUCCUACGGGAGGCAGCAGUGGGGAAUAUUGGACAAUGGGCGCAAGUCUGAUCCAGCAAUGCCGCGUGUGUGAAGAAGGCCUCGGUUGUAAG